Long non-coding RNA from Ailuropoda melanoleuca (giant panda), 409 nucleotides. RefSeq lists it as uncharacterized. NCBI's taxonomy places the organism in Eukaryota, Metazoa, Chordata, Mammalia, Carnivora, Ursidae. The transcript has 3 exons. The record is from RefSeq and is a predicted model, not a curated record.
UGAAGAGUCAGAUGCUUAACCGACUGAGCCACCCAGGCACCCCUUACUCAUUUUUUAAAACAGAGCUAAUCUACAGAUUGAAAUCACUGGUUUCUAGUUCAGUGAAAGAAAAUGUAAUGGCAUUGCCACAAAUGAAAAGAUCAUACAGAAUCUUAAACUCAAAGAUCAUACUCAGUAAAGAAAUGAAAUCAGAAUGCUCUUCUGGAAAGAGGAAAUCAAAAUGGGAACAUGUCCAUCUCUUUGCAAUGCAGGCCAGAAAUAUGGGAAGGCCUGGACCUCGUGGGAUCUGCUUACAGAGUAAGGCACAAUAAAUCAAGCCUUCCUGUGCAUUUUCUGUGCUUUUGUCAAAGCUAUUUCCUGGCUAUCAGUAUUUUCAUGUUUCAUACCUGCUUGAGUGCCAUUUGCAGUU